AGGUGUGGAUAGGGGAGAAAUUCCAAUCGAACCCGGAGAUAGCUGGUUCUCCUCGAAAUAGCUUUAGGGCUAGCCUCGAUACAGAUUUGCGGAGGUAGAGCACUGAAUUUCCUAGGGGGCGUCAAAGCCUACCGAAGAAUAUCAAACUCCGAAUGCCGCGUAAUCGAUUAUCGGGAGUCAGACUGCACGAGAUAAGUUGGGCGGUCAAAAGGGAAAGAGCCCAGACCUUCAGUUAAGGUCCCCAAGUGCGCGUUAAGUGGAAAAGGAUGUGGGAUUUCGAAGACAACCAGGAUGUUGGCUCAGAAGCAGCCAUCCAUUCAAAGAGUGCGUAAUAGCUCACUGGUCGAGAGGUCCUGCGCCGAAAAUGUCCGGGGCUGAAACGCGCCACCGAAACUAAGGAACCGAAAGGUUGGUAGAGGAGCAUUGCAUGCGGGAAGAAGCAGUACCGUAAGGAGCUGUGGACUGCAUGGAAGAGAGAAUGCCGGAAUGAGUAGCGAGAAUAAGGUGAGAAUCCUUAUGGCCGAAUAUCCAAGGUUUCCAGAGUAAAGCUGAUCUGCUCUGGGUAAGUCGGGGCCUAAGGCGAGGACGAGAGUCGUAGCCGAUGGACAACAGGUGGAGAUUCCUGUACUGCGGUAUGACAGAACUGUGGGGACACGUAAGGAAAGCGGAAGCCGGGAAUGGAAAGCCCGGUGCAAGCGGGGUACCAGUCACUUUGGCAAAUCCGGGUGGCAAUGGGAAGCCGUGAUGCGGAGCGAAAUAAAGUAGCGAAGUCCGUGAGCCAUGCGUCAAGAAAAGCCGCUAUUGUUUAUACCGUACCCGUACCGUAAACCGACACAGGUGGAUGAGGAGAGAAUCCUAAGGCCGGCGGAAGAAGCAUUGUCAAGGAACUCGGCAAAAUGGCCCCGUAACUUAGGGAUAAGGGGUGCCUGGGAAACCAGGCCGCAGAGAAUAGGCUCAAGCAACUGUUUAGCAAAAACACAGGUCUAUGCGAAACCGAAAGGUGAGGUAUAUGGGCUGACGCCUGCCCGGUGCUGGAAGGUUAAGGGGAGAGGUUAGCGCAAGCGAAGCUUUGAACUUAAGCCCCAGUAAACGGCGGCCGUAACUAUAACGGUCCUAAGGUAGCGAAAUUCCUUGUCGGGUAAGUUCCGACCC
This 1152-nucleotide ribosomal RNA is filed under the name human gut metagenome. RNAcentral's name for it is "bacterial LSU rRNA". It matches the Rfam family "Bacterial large subunit ribosomal RNA", at positions 807 to 1989 of the family's 2925-position model. The record is from RNAcentral.